RNAcentral lists this ribosomal RNA (168 nucleotides) under uncultured Cronobacter sp. RNAcentral describes it as "partial 16S ribosomal RNA". It matches the Rfam family "Bacterial small subunit ribosomal RNA", at positions 1159 to 1324 of the family's 1533-position model. Lineage: Bacteria; Pseudomonadati; Pseudomonadota; Gammaproteobacteria; Enterobacterales; Enterobacteriaceae. The record is from RNAcentral.
UAAACCGGAGGAAGGUGGGGAUGACGUCAAGUCAUCAUGGCCCUUACGACCAGGGCUACACACGUGCUACAAUGGCGGGUACAAAGGGAAGCCAACUCGCGAGAGCAAGCGGACUUCCUAAAGUCCGUCUUAGUCUCGGAUUUGGAGUCUGCAACUCGACUCCAUGAA